UACGUAGGUGGCAAGCGUUGUCCGGAUUUACUGGGCGUAAAGAGCGCGCAGGCGGUCGUUCAAGUCGCGUGUGAAAGCCCCCGGCUCAACUGGGGAGGGUCACGCGAUACUGAUCGACUCGAAGGCAGGAGAGGGUAGUGGAAUUCCCGGUGUAGUGGUGAAAUGCGUAGAUAUCGGGAGGAACACCAGUGGCGAAGGCGGCUACCUGGCCCACUCUUGACGCUGAGGCGCGAAAGCUAGGGGAGCAAACGGG
Molecule: ribosomal RNA, 253 nt
Filed under: uncultured bacterium
Lineage: Bacteria
Description: partial 16S ribosomal RNA
Rfam family: Bacterial small subunit ribosomal RNA
Source: RNAcentral